Molecule: long non-coding RNA, 786 nt
Organism: Daktulosphaira vitifoliae (grape phylloxera)
Lineage: Eukaryota; Metazoa; Arthropoda; Insecta; Hemiptera; Phylloxeridae
Exons: 3
Source: RefSeq, a predicted model, not a curated record
AGUAUGUCUUAAAAAACCCUGAAGACAAAAUUUUUUUAAAAAUUGAAUCUUGUAAUAAUUACGGUAUCCUUCAUUCUACCAGUGAUGUUAUUUUGGGAAAUUUACGUUUAAAAAUAAAAUAAGAAUAUGAAUUGCAAUGCUUGUUUUAACGCGUUACGACUUUUUUCCUUGGGGCUGUCGUUAUGGUACAAACUCCCCUUUUACAUAUUUAUGUAUGGACGGUUUUUGUUAGAAUGUGGUCAAGUCAAACGUUGUCACUUUUAGGUUUUUAUCAAUUUUGUUUAAAAACAGAUAUUUUAAAUAUAUCAAUAAACUAUAAUUGAGUCAACAAUAAUUUAUCCAACUAUUUACUAUAGCUAAUUUUAUUUUCCUAGUAUGAAUAUGUAAUAAAUAAAUUUUCAGAUAAAUAUUAAGAAAAAAAAUUUUAAUUCCUAUAAAAUACGACAAUUGUGUAACAGUAGACAUUCAUGUUUAAUAACCUUAUAGGGAAGAGUUAUGGUGAACUUAUUAUUCACUUAUUGUGAAGUAGAUAUUUUAUGGAUUACAAGAAAGUUAUUAUAAGUGUUCAACUAGGUGUUCUAAGAUUAAUUUGCGCACGAAGAUAAUUGUCUCCGGUAUUAGUCAAAGUAAAAAUUAUGAUGUAGCAUUAACUGAUGGAACACUGACCAACUAGUAGUCGUACUAUGUCUUAUGGUGUAGCAUACACGAGCUUUGAUGCAAAGCUGAGAAGAUACGCAGCAUUUAUUAUCGAUUGUGACUUUAUUAACGAAAAUGCUUAAAGUAUGG